This 566-nucleotide ribosomal RNA is filed under the name uncultured bacterium. RNAcentral's name for it is "bacterial SSU rRNA". It matches the Rfam family "Bacterial small subunit ribosomal RNA", at positions 8 to 572 of the family's 1533-position model. The record is from RNAcentral.
AGAGUUUGAUUCUGGCUCAGGAUGAACGCUGGCGGCGUGCCUAACACAUGCAAGUCGAACGAAGCAUUAGAACUUGAUUUUUUCGGAAUGAAGGUUCAUAUGACUGAGUGGCGGACGGGUGAGUAACGCGUGGGCAACCUGCCUUACACAGGGGGACAACAGCUGGAAACGGCUGCUAAUACCGCAUAAGCGCACGGUCUCGCAUGAGACAGUGUGAAAAACUCCGGUGGUGUAAGAUGGGCCCGCGUCUGAUUAGCUGGUUGGUGGGGUAACGGCCUACCAAGGCGACGAUCAGUAGCCGACCUGAGAGGGUGACCGGCCACAUUGGGACUGAGACACGGCCCAAACUCCUACGGGAGGCAGCAGUGGGGAAUAUUGCACAAUGGGGGAAACCCUGAUGCAGCGACGCCGCGUGAGCGAAGAAGUAUUUCGGUAUGUAAAGCUCUAUCAGCAGGGAAGAAAAUGACGGUACCUGACUAAGAAGCUCCGGCUAAAUACGUGCCAGCAGCCGCGGUAAUACGUAUGGAGCAAGCGUUAUCCGGAUUUACUGGGUGUAAAGGGAGCGU